Molecule: ribosomal RNA, 440 nt
Filed under: uncultured bacterium
Lineage: Bacteria
Description: bacterial SSU rRNA
Rfam family: Bacterial small subunit ribosomal RNA
Source: RNAcentral
CCUACGGGGGGCUGCAGUGGGGAAUAUUGCACAAUGGGGGAAACCCUGAUGCAGCGACGCCGCGUGAAGGAAGAAGGUCUUCGGAUCGUAAACUUCUAUCAGAAGGGAAGAAUAUUGACGGUACCUUAGGAGGAAGCCCCGGCUAACUACGUGCCAGCAGCCGCGGUAAUACGUAGGGGGCUAGCGUUAUCCGGAAUUACUGGGCGUAAAGGGUGCGUAGGCGGCCCUUCAAGUCAGAGGUGAAAGGCUACGGCUCAACCGUAGUAAGCCUUUGAAACUGUAGGGCUUGAGUGCAGGAGAGGAGAGUGGAACUCCCAGUGUAGCGGUGAAAUGCGUAGAUAUUGGGAGGAACACCAGUUGCGAAGGCGGCUCUCUGGACUGUAACUGACGCUGAGGCACGAAAGCGUGGGGAGCGAACAGGAUUAGAUACCCGGGUAGUC